This 257-nucleotide ribosomal RNA is filed under the name uncultured archaeon. Its description in RNAcentral is "partial 16S ribosomal RNA". It matches the Rfam family "Archaeal small subunit ribosomal RNA", at positions 748 to 1007 of the family's 1478-position model. The record is from RNAcentral.
CAGCCGUAAACUAUGCUCGCUAGGUGUCAGGCAUGGCGCGACCGUGUCUGGUGCCGCAGGGAAGCCGUGAAGCGAGCCACCUGGGAAGUACGGCCGCAAGGCUGAACUUAAGGAUUGGCGGGGGGAGCACAACAACGGGUGGAGCCUGCGGUUUAAUUGGACUCAACGCCGGACAACUCACCGGGGACGACAGCAAUAUGUAGGCCAGGCUGAAGACCUUGCCUGAAUCGCUGAGAGGAGGUGCAUGGCGUAGACGU